Molecule: long non-coding RNA, 805 nt
Filed under: Populus tremula
Lineage: Eukaryota; Viridiplantae; Streptophyta; Magnoliopsida; Malpighiales; Salicaceae
Description: long non-coding RNA (PTRE_LNC000357)
Source: RNAcentral
UUUUGACAGAUUCAACAAAAAAAAAACACACAAAAAACCCUAAAACACAACUCUUUCUCCCAACUAAAAAAAGAAAGGAGCCGCCCCCUCCGUUUUCAAAUUUUUUUUGGAACCUCCAGCUCACCAUUGGAUUCUUCUAAAAAACAGCCAGUGGCCGGCCAUUUUUCUUUGAUUUUUUCUUCCGGAGGCCGGCCAUUUCAAAGCCACCAGCCGUUCCCCCAUUUUCUUCACUUUUUCCAGCCAACAAAACCGGAGCAGCCACCACAGCCGGUUCUCUCCUCCUCUCGCUCUCAGCCAAAAAGCCCCCGGCCCUUGGUGAAAAACGAGAGAAACCCCUGGCUGAAGGGGGUUUUGAUUUUCGGUUUCUUCUCCCUUCAGCCGGGCGGAUCUUCAGCUCCCUUCAACAGAAAACGAGAGAAGCCCCCGCUACUCCCAUUUCCUUAUUCUCCCAUUCAGUAGUGGCUCCUCCCCACAUAGCCGUUCUCCCACCUCCACCAGCACCCACCGAAGCCAACCGCAGCAGCUCAUUUCCCCAGCGGCGCCACCUGCUGCUCCGGCCUCUAGCAGUCGUCGCCAGUACAUGGAAGACGAUCUGAAGAAGAAGAGGAAGGAGCAGAUCGGAGAAGAAAGAAGACAAAAAGCAGAUCUAAAAGGGGCGAAAUGAAGGAUGCAGAUUUGUAAAGGAAAGAAAAAUUAGCACCGAUUGCCAUUUGUGUGUUUUUUUGGUUGUUGCAGGUGACAGGGCCUUCACCGCCGACAGAAAAAUGGACGGGGGAGGAAGGCGCUCCAUACCCCCUGGUUUGGC